Molecule: non-coding RNA, 1435 nt
Organism: Pelobates cultripes (western spadefoot toad)
Lineage: Eukaryota; Metazoa; Chordata; Amphibia; Anura; Pelobatidae
Source: the annotation of a GenBank genome assembly
UGUCAACAAUAUUUGAGGAAAAAACAGAUAGAGAAAAAAAAAAAAAACACGUGUACAUAAUUUUGUAUAGGACAAUUUGUGUAUUUACCAUAAUUUGCUUGGAAGGAAUCUUAUCAUUGACUAUGCAUAUCAAGUUCGUAGCUAAGUGGUAAGUGGAAUUAUCUGGUUCAGCUUAAGACUUCACGCAGAUAAAUAGUAUCAUUUGAAACAAUUUGAACGAUGUCUGGAUCAAUUUCUGCAGACAUGGGCCCCUACUAGCAGAAUAGUCAUGAACAAGUCUAAUCAGUAUCAGGAGUAUUACAUCUCUUUACCACGUUUGCUGUAAGUGUCUGGUUAACUUAUUAAUAUUAUUAUAUUUCUAAAAAGCCAACAACUAAAUAUAAUAGUUUAGUAAACAGAAAGUAAUACAAAAGGAACAGAGGGACCUGCCCGUGAGGUCUAACAUUUGCAGCCUUUUUAUAUAAAAUACUAUGCUAAAUGGUUUAUAAGCUUAUAAUUUAAAGGUUUUGACGUGGACUUGAGACAAGAGAGAGCAGGGGGAGAUUUGGUUUUUAGAACAUCUGCAGACACUGCUAAGAUAUACAGCAGGAAAUACUCUUGACCUCAUCUUCAUCAAUCUCCAAUCUCUCCACUGUUCCAUUUCCUUUAUCUGACCACCAUCUGCUGACCUUUGACAUCAGCAUACCCCAUACCCAAAUAUUACCACCCUCAACUCUCCAAUAUUGCAGAAACCUCCACUGCCUUGAUCUCCAGCAUUUCUCCACCAAACUCCAAACUCUGCAACCUCACUCCACAACUCCACUCUCUUCUCUCAACUAGACAUCAUGGCACCUCCUACAUUUAGAUGCAGCAAGCAUUCCCAAUUACAACCCUGGCACACCAAGCUGACCCGAUAUCUCCUAAAAUGUUCAAGAACAGCUGAACGCUGUUGGAGAAAGUCUCACUCUGCACCUGACUUCCUCCACUAUAAAUGUAUGCUGUGCUCCUACACUCUGGCUCUUCACUCUAAAAAAGAGGGUGCGACUGCAGCACCAUUUUGUGCGGGUGUCCUCGUCCAUGAGGGCUGACCUGGGAGUUUGGGACACGUUCCUGGAGCACUUCAAUGGCACAUGUUCUUUCGAUGGGAGGUGGCAGCUGAGCUGGAGCUGUAUACAGAUACCUCGGGCAUCGUGGGAUUAGGGGCGUACUUUGUGGGCGGUGGUGUGUGGUGCCCUGGUCAGCAGCCUGGCUGGAUAGAACGCUGGUGCGGAGUCUGGCUUUCCUGGAACUGUUAUGUUGGUGGUCGCCUUGUCACUUUGGUGUGCACUCCUGAGCGAUAGAAAGAUGAUGUUCUAUACUGAUAAUAUGGCAAUGAUGCUAAUAAUAUGUCGGGCACUUCGGUGCCAGUGGAGUGCAUGUGGAAGUUUGUUUUGCUCUGCAUGUCCCUAAAUGUGGU